This 910-nucleotide ribosomal RNA is filed under the name uncultured bacterium. RNAcentral's name for it is "bacterial SSU rRNA". It matches the Rfam family "Bacterial small subunit ribosomal RNA", at positions 8 to 915 of the family's 1533-position model. The record is from RNAcentral.
AGAGUUUGAUCCUGGCUCAGAUUGAACGCUGGCGGCAUGCCUUACACAUGCAAGCCGAACGGCAGCACGGGCUUCGGUCUGGUGGCGAGUGGCGAACGGGUGAGUAAUAUAUCGGAACAUACCCUAGAGUGGGGGAUAACGUAGCGAAAGUUACGCUAAUACCGCAUACGCACUAAGGUGGAAAGUGGGGGAUCGCAAGACCUCAUGCUCAUGGAGUGGCCGAUAUCUGAUUAGCUAGUUGGUGAGGUAAAGGCUCACCAAGGCGACGAUCAGUAGCUGGUCUGAGAGGACGACCAGCCACACUGGAACUGAGACACGGUCCAGACUCCUACGGGAGGCAGCAGUGGGGAAUUUUGGACAAUGGGGGCAACCCUGAUCCAGCAAUGCCGCGUGAGUGAAGAAGGCCUUCGGGUUGUAAAGCUCUUUUGUCAGGGAAGAAACGGUGAGUCCUAAUACGACUUGCUAAUGACGGUACCUGAAGAAUAAGCACCGGCUAACUACGUGCCAGCAGCCGCGGUAAUACGUAGGGUGCAAGCGUUAAUCGGAAUUACUGGGCGUAAAGCGUGCGCAGGCGGUUAUAUAAGACAGAGGCGAAAUCCCCGGGCUCAACCUGGGAACUGCCUUUGUGACUGUAUGGCUAGAGUGUGUCAGAGGGGGGUAGAAUUCCACGUGUAGCAGUGAAAUGCGUAGAUAUGUGGAGGAAUACCGAUGGCGAAGGCAGCCCCCUGGGAUAACACUGACGCUCAUGCACGAAAGCGUGGGAGCAAACAGGAUUAGAUACCCUGGUAGUCCACGCCCUAAACGAUGUCUACUAGUUGUCGGGACUUAAUUGUCUUGGUAACGCAGCUAACGCGUGAAGUAGACCGCCUGGGGAGUACGGUCGCAAGAUUAAAACUCAAAGGAAUUGACG